RNAcentral lists this unclassified non-coding RNA (193 nucleotides) under uncultured Russula. RNAcentral describes it as "sequence contains ITS1". Lineage: Eukaryota; Fungi; Basidiomycota; Agaricomycetes; Russulales; Russulaceae. The record is from RNAcentral.
UCGUACAACCGAGGUGCCCGGGCUGUCGCUGAUCCCUCAAAGGUCGUGCACGCCCGAGCGCUCUCGCACAAUCCAUCUCACCCCUUUGUGCAUCACCGCGUGGGUCCCCCCCUUUUUCGGGGAGGAUUCGCGUUUUCACAUAAAACUUGAUACAGUCUAGAAUGUUUAUCUUUGCGGUCACACGCAAUCAAUA